Diabrotica virgifera virgifera (western corn rootworm) is the source of this 14074-nucleotide long non-coding RNA. RefSeq lists it as uncharacterized. The transcript is spliced from 2 exons. Lineage: Eukaryota; Metazoa; Arthropoda; Insecta; Coleoptera; Chrysomelidae. The record is from RefSeq and is a predicted model, not a curated record.
AAACGGAGACCUAUAUGGAAUUCGAAUCGAGUUGGGGGCACUUUUCAUCAUCUUAACCGGCUAGGCCCUUUAUUCUAGGCUAGGCUAUUCCCAGUAAAAAGAGUAAAUUGUAUUAAGAUGCCACAAGAAAAUAGUUUCAGAACAAUAUAUUAAUUCCCGAAUACUGUUAGUUUUCACCUCUGAGUAUAUUGAGUGUUUGAUUCACAGGUAUUAACCAGUCUACCUUUUCUUUCAUACUCGAAAUGGCAAGUUGGUUCGUCUGUAGUUGGUUACACAAAAAAUUAUAGUCCAAACCUAGAAGAUUUGUUGCAUAUUUGUAGUUCCAUUUACAUAUCCUAGGUUUUAGAGAAAUACUGGGAAGCAUUUACUUUGAAGUAAAGUUAAGUUCAUUAAAUUUAACUCCUUAUUCUUUUCCUUUAUUAGCCUUCUAUCGUCCAUUGUUGGACAUAUACCUCUCCGACCUCCUUCCAUCGAUCUCUUUCCUGGGCAACAUACUUCUGAUUUGUUCCGGCUAUUUUUUUUUUGAUGCCAUCUACCCAACUCAUCUGUGGUCUUCUUGGUCGUCUAACUUUUUAAGGUCUCCAAUGCUGUAUUGUGGCGUUCCAAUGUUGGUCUUUUUAUAUAGCAGUGUGGCCAGCGAAGCUUUUCCUUUGAGUUUGAUAAUUUUUGCUGUCAUAUCCUCGACUUUUGUUUUUGAUGUUGCCCAAUCGUUCCUCUUUUAUCGGACAGUCGUGAACCUAAUAUUGUAAUUUCUGUUGUGGCUGGUUUAUUCAUAUUGGCCUUGGUUAGGGUAAAAGUUUGGACACACUGGUUGAACAUAUUGUUCCUCAAGUAUUGAGGUAUUUUUAGUUCUUAAGUAUCCAACUCAGUUUUCCAAAUCCUGCCCAUGCAAAUCUUGCUCUUCUAGUAAUUUUCUCGCUCGUUGGUCCUCUCUGUCAAGUUUCAGAAUUUUGUCCAGGAUAUGCUUGGACCUGUUCUAUCGCAUUGCCAUUUAUAGUUAUACAUCUGGACUCUAGUUGUCUGUGUUUGUCUUUGUUUUUGUCAUGUUCAUAUUUAGGCCGACGUAUUGGGAGCCGUCUGUGAGUUCCUUCAUCUUAGUAUGUAGUUCUUCGAAUGUGCUCGCUAUAAUCAGGAUGUCGUCAGCGAAUUCGAGGUGAUUUAACUUAUUGCCAUUAACAUUGAUGCGAUAUGUUGACCAAUUGUAGUUCAAAAUGGAUAAUGCUUGAAACUUAGUUAUGUGUAAUGAGGCAUUUCUGUCACAUUUCCUACCAUUUUUGGUAGUGACCUCGUUUAUCUUCAAUCAUAUUAUUUUUGAUUCUUUGUCUAGUUUUUCUAUUGCUCGUUGGAAUGCCAUCUUUAUAUUUGCUGUAAUGGCCAGAUCAAAUAAGUAUGUUAUUACUCCAGACAGAUUUGAGAUAGUAUUGUUGUUCACUGAGGUUUGUUCACAAGAUCAGGUUCCUCCUGACUAUACAAGAUCAGGUUGAAUAAUUUCAUGGAGAUUUAGUGUCCCUGUUUAAUGCCUUCGUUUGUUUUAAUAUCCUUAAAGGCUGCUCCAUUAAGUCUUAUCUUCGUGGUGGUGUUCUUGUGAUUCACCGUUAGCAUUUUCCUUAGUUUUGUUGGUAUCCCGAACUGCCCCAGUUCUUCCAUAUUUUUAAACAUUUGAUUAAAUCCAAGCAUUCGUUAGAGCUCUAUAAGAAAAAACACUUGUCGAAUUAUAAAAACAUAAAAAAAGAAACAAUUUAUUUUGCUCAUUACUUUUCAAUUUACAAUUAUAGUCAAUUAUUCUAAAACAAACUUAAAAUUUAAUUUUGCUAAUUUUUUAAACUAAGUGCAUAUUUUAUUAAUCUAUUUUUUUGAUAAUAAGAGUUUGUAAUAAAAUUUGCUUUUUCCAUUUUCUUUACUCAGUGUAAAAAAAUUCGUUGCGCUAAUUACACAGGAUUUUUAGGUGAUAAAAAUUAAACAACUUUUAUAUACUGACACGUGAUACUCAACACCUUUAGAAAUUUUGCGCUAACACCUAAGGGUAAGAACAGAACAAGUGGGUCGAGGUGGAGGUGUAGGUCACGGUGUAUGCUACUAGUUACGUCGAUGUCGACAGCACAUAGCAAGGAGGUCACCUGCGCUGUCAGUCCAGCUAGAACCACUAUCAAGUGAUGUAGUUUAAUGAAAUUUGAAUGACAAAAAGACUGUGCUUUUGCGAUGUUGUGUCAGUCAAGUGAUGAUAGUGAUGAAAUGUCAGCUGUAAAUAAUCAGAUCCUCCUUCAUAUUUCAAAAAUGUACUGUAUUUAAUUACUUUAGAAAUUCAAAAAUAAAUUGAAUAGGUAAUGACAACUUGGCUUCGAACGGACCAAUCACAGGGAAGCAUCCUUAUAGGCUGCGCAGUAGACAUCCAUGUAAAACAAACUCAUUUUAUUUUCAAAAGCAUUGAUAUAAACCUCCUGGAUGGCAUCGCGCUAAAUUUCCACCGCGACUUACCUGCUCUGUUCUCUUCAGAACAAUCCUGUGAAAUUAACUAUUAUUAAGGUUUUUCAAUUUUUUUUUUAAUAUGUAUAAUGUCACAUAUGGUUGACCUUAUUAAUAAUGAGUUGUUAACUUUUGCAUAAAAUUAUAAAAGUUAAGAAUUAACUUCUUACAAUAGGUAUAUUCAAAUUUGUUUUUUAUAUUAAAGUAUACUUGACUAUAAGUUUACAAUUACGGUAUUGUAUUUUCAAAAAGAAAAAUAGUGCAGGACACAUUUAAAGUGAGUCGUUUUUCAGUUCUAUGAAAAUUAAUAAUCUGUCGACGUAAUAGACCUUGUUCAACUGUGCAUUUGUAUUUUUGAAGAUAUUUUCUGCCCUGAGUGAUAAAAUCGGAUAUAUUUCCUGCUUGGUAUGGUAUGGUACGGUACAUCGGGGCAGGGCCCACUUAUGAGUCCUUCAGACACUUAGACCUCCUACGACGGGUCCAUUGCAUUACCACUAUCCUGCCGAUCAGGUCCAUAAGAACCUGGUCUUCGGCGUUUUGGGGGCCCAGGCUGUACCGGGCUCCCAUGUCUGUCAGAAUCAGCAGGGGCUGGAAAUCUGUGCUCCUCCUGUCGAUGCCGCGCCGAACGUCUAAUCAUUAAGCAACCUCAUGGCUUCACAGAAAGCCACAAGUCACUUUCAUCACCACGUGUCACCAGAAUCUACAGUGGAUGGUGAGCACACUGACCACCAGGGAGCAUUUUCUACGGUCUAAAAGAAGAAGUUGGGCUGUGAGAUUUUUGGUUGGCCCCACUAUGCGGAGCCUAGCUUAUCUCAAACCUCUAUUUCCUGCGUAUUUACUAUUCUUCUAAAAAUCGAUUAUGUACUAUUCUUUUUCAAAUUAUGUACCUGCCGUACUAGCCACACACUCUUGCACUUUUUCAAAGUCAAUAAUAGGUUUAUCAGCAGCCGCUUCUCGUUUAGCGGAUUUUACCACUGAGUCUAUUAUUUCAAGAAAUUGAGCAUUCAAAACUUUUCGCUUCAAUUUAUAUUGUUGAUUCAUGUUUAGAUUAAAUGAGCAAUUAUACGAUUCAAAAUCACUAUUAUUAAAAAUUUGAUUUUACCAACACAAAAUUUGUCAACCUCGCGAAUCGUUUCUACAGUGAAACUAUACACAUACACAGCUAAGUGGUUCUCGAUCAACAGAGUGCUCCUUGACGUAAUUUUAAAUCAGCUAGCUCGCACACUAUGUUCACGUCUAUUCGUAUUCUGGUUCACCUGUACGUAUCGUCUUCAUCACAGUUUAUGCUCGUUGGACGUUUUUCGAACUUGCUGAACUUUAUCGUGGUUUUUCUGAUUAUUUUUCGUAAGUAUGGCCUUAAGGGGAUCAAGUUCUAUAGUUGUCUGAUGAAAAUUCUAGAAAAUGAAUGGUCUAUCACGACAGGAGAGGAUUGCAGGGUUUGACGGAGGUAUGCGGUUUUUUGUUGUUUUUUUAUUUUUUAUUUAAAACUGAACCGUCGUUUCGAGCCAGUAUGGUUUAUGCCUAUGGCUUGCUAUGUAUUUAAUUUAGAAAUGUAAAGAAUAUUAACUACAGUCAAUUGCUGAUUGUGGUAACUGUAUGUGAUAUUUACAUAAAUUGUGUACAUGUUGUUCUAUAAUUAAUACCGUAUGAUUUGCAGCAGUCAUAUAAAUAUUUUUAUUAUAAUUCAGAAGGGCGCAUCUAUGGCUUUAAUUCUCCUCUUUUUUAUAGUUUUAUUAAAUCUAGCCAAAUAAGUUAGGUUCGAUUUUGUAGCCAAUUUAUCCAUGAAAUUGUAAUAAAUUAGGUUUAUUUCUAGUACAUUACGCGAACAGUAGGCAAAUAUUACAUUUGAAAUUAUAGGCUUGGAUCCCGUGUACUAAAAAAAACUUGAUUAAUAGCAAGCUGAAAUUUUUUUAAUAGCUUAACGGUGUCUAGUCGUACAAACGUUGAUGUACGGGAACACUAACAGUUUUAAUUGUGGAACGGGCUAAAAAUUUUGAACGUCGAGACUAAAUGUCCCAUGUAUUUUGUCGGACAGAACUUCCAAUUGAUUUGAUACCCUUUCAUCAAACUCUCAUGCAAAAAUCAGACUGCUAUUUAUCACCAACAUAAUUCCAGUCAUUUGACAUGUUCUACGUGUCGCACUUAUUAAAAUGCCCAGUUGGUGAAAAAUUCCAGUCUGAUUUUUGCAUGAGAGUUAAAUGAAAGGAUAACAAGUCAAUUGGAAGUUCUAUCCGACAAAAUACAUGGGACGUUUUCGUAGUCUGACGUUCCAACUUUUUAACCUGUUCCACAAUUAAAACUUCCUUUGUUCCAGUGUUCCCAACCAUCAAAGUUUGUCCGACUAGACACCGUUAAGCUAUUAACAAAUUUUCAGCAUGCUAGUAAUCAACUUUUUUAGGUACGCAGGAUCCAGGCAUAUUACCCAGUAGCAGUGAUUGGCAUUAUGUAUUAAAAAAUAUACUAGGUAAUAUGGUCGACCAAUUCUGGAAGGUAACAUAUAAUAUUUGUAAAAAAAUAUGAUUUGGAAUGAAAAGCCAAAUAUUGAUUUGGUGCUAUUGGAAACUGUGAUUUUAUAUUUACAUUGUGUCUUAGACAAGUUGUAAUGAAUUUAAUGAAAAUUUUCAACCAUAUUAAGAUCUAUCUUUAAUCGGAGCUAUAUAGUAAAAGGCUCUUAACUCCACACUUAAAUAUGUAUGACUUUAACUUUGACAUCUUCUAUAUUUUUAAUAAGUACAUCGAAUUGUCUACUAAGUUUUUCUUCUCUUCGUUACCUCAGGUUAGAUCUUUGUCUACACUAGUUGUCUGUGUCACUUCGUUCGUUCUUUCAAUACAAACUCUUAGCUUCUAUGAAACGUCAAGAAGUCCUGUGCUAUAGAAAAAAGCCAUCUCACAACAUAGCUCAGAUUAAAAAAUGUACAGGUUUUAAGUUUAAUGUCUAAUCUAGCUUCCAUCCACCAAAAUUUGGUACCUCGAUUUUUUUAAUAUUUCGCAUAGUUCUUCAGUCAUAACAGCUUUUCACUCAUUUUUUCUUCAAAACGGAUCUUUGUGAUGUUAAAGGACUCGGCAUCCUCGGCAUUUAUAAAUCCAAUAUACCUGUAGAUGUGUCAACAUCUUUUUUAUCGAGCAAGUAAAAGGGACCGUAUUUCAUUCUUCGGCAUAAUUUUUACCGGAUAGUUCUUGGGGAUCACUGCUUUAUUGAUCCAAAUUAAAGGAACUUCGUAACUAUCACUACCAAUCUCUUGGGAAGGAAGCAAAUUUUCUCAUUUUUGUUUUUUUAGCAAUAGUACUUCUGUUAGACGCAGCCCAUCUAGAGGCUGACAUUAUCAGUUCUCCUAGUGUUGUAGUUGGAGAAUUCUGUGUUAAGACGUCCUUGCUAGUGUGAAGACCCUGCUCACUCUUGUUCCUUCUUUUAGUUCUGGAUAAGCGUUGCUUUAAUAACUCAAGUGUCUUGAUCUUUUCUGUAAGAGAUCUGGAAUCGUUUCCUAAUGUUGUUUUCUGUCGGGAUCUUACGAGGAUUGGUAGGUUUUCGUAGUCUGCUGGAUAUCCCCUUUGGAAGUAGUUGUGUUAUUUUGUUGGAUUCUUAUGAAUCUCCCGUUUGUUUCUUUUAUAUUUAUUUGUCAAAUUUCGGUCUAGUGGGAGUCUGUACUUCUCUUCUUAUUCCUUGAGCCCUUAUAAGAGCGUGGUGACACUCUAAAUAUUGUUAGCUUGCUGUCUCCAUUGGCUGCGAUCUUGGUGCAUAAACUUAAAUUAUCUUUAUGGAGUAACAGGUGUUUUGCUGUCAUUUUACGAGUAUAACUCUUAUUUGUGAAGACUACUUUACCAUCUCUAAAACCAGUGUUGUCAUUUUCGCCCUCCAAGUUGUAACGAAGAUGUUCUCUUCCAUGCUCGUGCCUACCAUUGUGGUCUUAACCCACAUCCCUGAGUAAAUGUCUGUGUUAUAUCCCAGAGAGCUAUGUCCAAUUUUAACUUAGCUAUCAAUUCGCUUCGGCUUACUGAAGUACCAGAUACCGUGUGUUUACUUUUAAAUUAGAUAUAUGAGUACACCUAAUAUAUGGCAACACUGCUUCCCCGUUUCCCACACCUGAGUCGCGCGGAUUUAUUCAGUCAUUCGUCGAUUCUACAGUGGCAAGUCAUUCUCGUAAGCGAUGUUGCCGAUUUUAGCGUUUCCUUCAGUCGCGUAUCUAUAAUCGAAAACCAAACGUAUGAUAGGAGUUACCCGUGGGAGCGACAGAUAAGAUGACUCUGUACUCCGUGAGCCCGGUUAAUGGGCAUGUGUGAUUCCAUUCUCAAAGCCACUAGUUUUUGGAUACAUAUAGGCAGAGGCGUAACCAGGAGGGGAUUUUGGGGGUCUAACCCCUCCAUUGAGAUAUACAUUGAGCUCUAUACGCGUAACACCAUUACUCUUCCAUACCCCUCAGCGACCCUCUAGUAGUUGUAAACUCCCCCUUAGGAUCAUCCUGGUGACGCCGUUGCAUAUAUACGCUACGUUUUUGAGGUAUUUCGUUGAGUUAUUCCAUGAAGUUGACAGACUAUUUGAAAUGGUUCUUUCCCGUUGCUCCUAGGUAGUAUAUACUGCUUAAUAGUUCUUGUUCAUCGAGGAGUUUCAAUUUUUCUGCUUUAAAUUAUUGUUCACUUGCGUUUAAUCUUCUGUUGCUUAGUGAGCCAUUACAAAAGCUUAAUAUGUUCCACCGGAAACGCUAAAUAUGAUUAUAUCAAAAAUUUGGUCUAAACAUUGCCUUAAUUGUUAUCAUUAAAAUAAGCGUUAUAUCGCUAACGCUAGCAUUGCUAGUAGUUACAAAAAUGUCACUCUUACAGUGACUAUUACAGUUUGUAAGUUAGUGUUGUAAGCAAAAAAGACUUAGCUUUGUCUAGGACAUACUGUAUAUGUUUUAAUUUUAAUCUGCUACUUCGAAAAUUGACUUUUCUUUAAAAUAUCACUAUUUUUGUAAUAAAGUUGAAGGUAUUUAUGUAGAAAUAAAAAUAUAAUACGUUAAAAUAGAUCAUAGAAUAAAUGAUGUUUAUCUUGUAUUUGCUUCAUGGGUUUUUAUAGUAAGUAGUAUAUUAUGGUACUUUACCAUUUUUUUAGGUAUAUGUAGUUCAUGAGUUUAAGCCUUCCAAGAGUAUUUUGCCAUUACUAUUUGAUAUAAAGAUCAUCACACGGCGUAAAAAUUUUUAAAAAUUCUAAAUCCAGUGUUGUUCUGAAGCUAUUUUCUUUAACUAUUUUUCAAUUAACUAGUUUUGGUGGGAAAUAAGCCACAAUUUUACUAAAAAAAUGAUUUUAUUAACGUUUCGAUGCCCAAAUCGGGUGUCGUUGUCAAAAUACAAAAAAUAUUAAUGAAUUUAACAAAAAUGUUGUUGCUUAGUAAAAAAAUUCUUCUAAUAAUUUAUUUAAUCUGACUCAUUUAUAUCGGCAAUUCAGACAUAUAUUAUAAAUUUUAAAGUAGAAGACUUUAAAAUGAUAUUGCCAAUAUUUAUGAGUUGCGUUCCUGGGACGUUAAUUUCGUUAUUUCUUUUUUGCCAUUUCUUAAUUGUCUUCUUACAACUUUGAGGCUCUUGUUAUCUUCAAUUGUUUGUUGAAUUUGUUCGUUUUUAUAUUUUCGGUUGUCCGUCCUAAUAGAUUUUUGUAUUCUUUUACUUAUCUCUCUAAGUUCUUUGUGUUCUUUACUUCUAUUACUUUGCAGUUUUCUCCGCUCUUCCAUUAAUGAUUGUGUUUGGGGGAUUAUUCUUUUGUUAUGUGACGUCUUUUGGCAGUGUAUCUUCGGGCUCUCUUCUAUAGCUUCUAUUAUAAUGUCAUUAAGGCCCGAUUGUACAUUGGCGGCUUAAGCUAUGGCUUAGUUGAACCGGGUUCAAUUUUGAGCGUCGGUUUAACUUCAUUCGGGUUGUUCAAUGCCGAGUUCAGUUAAGCCGAGGUUCAUACAAAUUUUGGUAAGGUUGGCAACGUAAGGCAUGCGUAUUCAAAGCAAUUCCCGUCAAUUCUCGACAUAAAUUUUCCCGCCAUUUAUGUAUUAUUAUUUGGUUUUUGUCAAUAUAAUUCUUUUAUUACUGUUAUUAGUUUAAUCGGUAUUUUCUAUCGUUUAGUUUAUCAGUUUAAUCAAUUUCCUACGUUAAAUUUGUGAACAGACCAUUUGAAUAGCUUGUGAUGAAGGAUUGCGUAAGGGUGUUAUCAGGUUUUCUUGACUCCGUAACCACUAUCACCAAAGAAGAUACUAAUUCAAUCUUCACAUUCUCUUCUCAUAAAUAUUUAACUGUUUACAGCUAUGAUUUCAAAUUCACUCAAAAAUGUUAAUAUUUGCCUUAUUCUAGGGAAGUAGGUAGGUAAUUUAAAUAAUUUUAGAAGGUAAAUUAGUUUGUAAUUAUUAUUAAAUAAAGUGAUAUGUACCUACAUAAGCAUGGUACAAAUAUAAUUAAUUUAAGAUUUAUUAAUAAAUUAUGUACAUCUAAUUUAAUAAAUUAACAAAAUCGUUUUCUACAUUUGCUUCAAAAUCAUUCACAAGUUGCAAAAAGGAGCCUGUUGCUUAAAACCAGUGAUAUGGGCCCACUUCACUGCACAAAACCUUAAUUUAAGGCAAUAAAAACCAUGUUCUUAGAAGAUACAGCUUGGUUCUUGAAAUGUCAAUAACAAAUUUGCCACUUGUUUUCGUUCUCGUUCUUACCUAUCUGUUCGAUUUUUUAUUCUAUGAGCAAUACUAGUUUCAUACAAAUAGUGAACAGUGAACAGAUAUCCAAAAUCUUUGCAACAAUGCAUUAUCCUUCCAUUUUCAAAAUGAUUUUCUCUAGACCUACACUGUUUCUGUGUUCUCCUUCCUUCUAGAAUAUUUACCAUUUCCAGAAAAUCUUCAUUAUUAGUUAAAUUUUCAAUGAGGUUCAUUUUUAAGGUGUAAAUAUUAUGAUUUCCGUUGACAAUGACAAAAAUGUGAGGUUAAAAAUGCUUGAACCAGCGUUAAACCGCCGAACAUCGACCGCUCAGCUGAACCCGGGCUUAAACCGAGCUCAAGCUUAAACUUUGUAUGUACAACGCACUUCUUGCCCUGAACUCGGUAAUGGCGCUGAGCCGGAGUUGAACCUCGAUUGUACAACCGGGCCUAAGGGUGUUAACAUUUAGGUCUGUAUUCCUAUCGCUUUCGAGAAUGCUGUGGAUAUGUUCUUCAAAUGCAUUUAUAUUUUUAGGCUCGGUCCAGGUAGUUGUGGACUUCUUUUCCCGUAGCUUCCGGUAGCUCUCUUUCCCAAGGUCUAUUUCUAUCGAGGCUUUUACCAUUCUGUGGUCGCUACCUGUUGAAAACUGGUUUAGAACUGUAACGUCUUUAAAGAUUUGCUUCUUGUCGGUGAUUAUAAAAUCGAUCUCGUUCCUAGUUUUUCCAUUUGGGCUCUGCCACGUCCAUCUACGAUGUUCUUUUUUGUAGAAGAAGCUGUUCAUUUGGAACAGAUUUUUCUCCAUCAGGAAACUAAGUAAAGUUUCACCGCGUUCGUUUCUAUCUCCCAAACCAAAUUUUCCCAGUGAUGUUUCUAUAUCGUCUGCCUUUCUCCCCGUUUUAGCGUUAAAGUCACCGCAUAUUAUGGUAUAGUGUGUUGUUGUAUCAUUUAAGGCUAGAACAAUGUCAUCGUAGAAUUCCUCUACUUCGUAGUCCGCAUGGCCCCUUGUUGGGCAUAUACCUAGCUCAUCCAUAGGAAAGAAUAAUUUCCAGUUUGAUGGUUUUGAUUCUGUGAGUUGCAUAUUAAAUUAGGAUAAGAACCAGUUUAUUACUGUUUCUUAUUCUUAAAAUAUGUGUAUUUUCAAAUGAUGAAUGGGUAUUUUCCUCUCUUCAAGGCACUUUGUUAAUUGAAAGUUCAAAGUCCAUAGCAAACAAACAAUAAUAAGGAAUGAGCAAUUGUAUUUUCAUUGUAAAAAUAAGAUAGUUAUAGCAAACUGUCGGACAAGACUUGGCAAUGAUGUUCUAAAUUUGCUAAAGACGUGCGUCUUCAUCUUGUACUUCCUUUUCUAUCUGCACACCUCGCGGCUCUUCGCUAUUUCGGCCAAGGCUAAAGCUGGACACAAACGACUUGUGUUCUUGGCGAAUAAUCGUUACUUGCGUACAUUUGCCAUGUCAUGUUGUGUGAGUGGGUUUUUAGUACAAUUAUUAUUUGUCACUCGUUGCCGCUCGUUGGUUUUCCAUUUGAGGUCGGUAAUAAUGGCCCGAGUCAAAGGGUAACGGUUAUUCGUACACUUGCCAAGUACAUAGUUGUCUAUACUUGAGCAGAGGCGCUCAAACGAAGUGCACAAAUAAUUGGCAUUUACUGCAACUAUUCAUUUAAUAAUCAAACCACUGAUUCAUUUGUCAAGGUUUUUAAGCCAAAUGUUUACGCUCGCGUACUUGUAAAUUGUACAUGACGUGUGAGCGCCCUGAUGCCAUCGCAAUCGCAAAGCUAGGAUACUUGCCAAGUAGGCAAAUAGUUGUGUAUUUGCCAAGUACACGAGUCGUUUGAGUCCGCCUUAAGAAAUGACAAUUUGACACUGAUUUGUUACUCUCUCUAACAACCCUCUCUUAUUUUAUGUAGUUAUAAGUUAUUUUAUUGCCAUUGCUGUGUUAUUUCUGAAAUGUUCAUUAUAAUAUGUUAUAGUCGGUUCGCUAAACUCAGACAACUGGCACACACACACACACACAUGCUCGUAUCAACCCCAGCCCCGUGGGACAUGUGUGUUCCAAUGGAAAAGUGGAACCCACAUGUCCGAAGAUCAAACCGGUCACACUCCUCCCCAUCGAAGGACAUACCGAAUGGGGAGGCGUUGAUCUUAAUGUUACUUUGGAUGCCCUGGCUAAUGGGACAUCCUUUGUAUUACUUCAUGUGGUUAAGCCACCUGGUUUUAGGGGUAGCUAGAAGAGCUUUUCUCCCUAUUAAUGACUAAGUUAAUUUUUUACUUUACUUUGGACUUGUGUCCUAAAAAAAAAUGUGUUCCGGACAUCAAGGCACCGAUCUAAAUCGGUGUCUUGCUGUCCAGACCGUGUGUGCUCGGUCACUCAGCCGGUGAAUUUGCAAAAUAAAUUUUGUUCUCCUCGACGGCUGAGCGCCCGAAAGGUGUGGCCAUCAAGCCCACGUCUGUCGGUACGUGACCUCGAUGCUCACAUUCCGCGGCUAUGAUCCAUUUGACCUACCUGAAGGGUACUUAGUGCCUGAAGGGCGACAUUUGUGUUUCGAUAUUCUGUGGCUAUCUCAAUUUUUCAUUCUUAAGGGUUUCCUCUAUAUCCAGCUAACUGCUGUCUAGGCCGUCUAUGUACCGUUCUUUGGUUUUCGUCGUAGUUAGUCAAUUCUCUUAAUAAUCUGCUAGGAUGGUUUCUGUUAUUGUUAAAUAUUUCAUGUGCUCUUUCGUCUAUCAUUCUCAGGACUUUCUUUUGUUGCGUAUGUCCAAAUACGUAUCUGAAUGGGACAUAUCUAGGUACAUAUAUUCAGAGUUUCCCUGAUCAUGUGGUUUUGGAUGGUUUGUAUUUUUUUCUUGUUGGUUUUACACGUGUGCCCCCAUGCGGCUGAGGCGUAUGUUAGUGUUGGCAAAAUUAUACAAUUUGCCAUCCUAAUCUUUGUCUUAAAUCUCAGUUUACUCUUUCGACCUAUUAGCGAUUACAGUUGACUCCUAAGGGCUUUAGCUUUGUUGACCGUUUGUUUUACGUGUUCUGUAAAGGUCAGCCUUUUGUCCAACAUUACGCCUAGGUAUUUGGCUUGAGUUGACCAUUCAAUUUGGGUAUCAAAUAGGGAUAGUACCUCAUUUGGUCUUCCUCUUCGUUUUUGGUACAUAACGGCCUGUGUUUUGUCAGGAUUGACAGCUAUUUUCCACUGCACACACCAUUCUUGUAGUUCGUCAAGAGCUCUUUGUAGAUGUCUUGUUGCAAAAUCUGGGUGGGUACCGCUAAAAGCUAUCGCUGUAUCAUCUGCGUAUAGACUUAGCAACGAUCUGGGUUCAGUUGGGGUGUCUGCCGUAUAUACGGUAUAUAGAUAUGGCAACAACACUGCCCCCUGUGACACACCAGCCUCCAUGGUCCCAACUUCGGACAGGGUUGGCCCUAUCCGAACUCUGAACCUCCUGUUGGCUAGGUAUGACGAGAGAAGACACGUCAUCGCUUCACUAUAACCAUAUUGGUUCAUUUUAUACAGCAGGCCGUCAUGCCAGACCCUGUCAAAUGCUUUACUGACGUCUAGAAAGGCGGCCGCUGUAUAUUUCUUUUUGUUGAACCCUUUCGUGAUAUAUUCUGUUAACCUCAGCACUUGAAGUUCACACGAGUGCUCGAAUCUGAAUCCGAACUGUGCUUCAGGUAUUGUUCCGAUUGCUUCAGAUUCUUCUUUUAGCCUAACUAAUAUGACCCGCGCUGCGAUUUUGCUUAAUGCUGAUAAUAAGCUUAUCGGUCGAUAAUUAUGUGGAAAUGUCUUAGUCUUAAGAUGUUGUUUAUUAAAUUUGUUAUGUACACUAUUGCUUUUCCUGGCAGAUUUUUCAGAGCUCUGUUUGUAAUCUUGUCCGGUCCUGGAGCUUUUUUAGCAUUCGUACGCUUGAUUAGCUGUCUGACCUCUUCAGGGGAGGUGUGUGUAAUACCUAUAAUGCCCUUUCUUCUUUUUAGAAUUCUACAUCUUCGUUCGACUUCUUCUGUGAAGUCUAGAUCUUCAUCGGGAUGAUAGUUUUCCCUACAUUCUCUUUCUAGCGUGAUUGAUACAACUGGCUAGUGAUUUUAGUCGGUAAUUUAUUUGUUUUUGGCCUAUUUUGCCAAAAUUGGCAAAAUUACAAACUAUUUAGUAAUUAUUAACUAUUUAGUAAUUAUUUUUUUGGUAAUUUUUUAAAAUUGGCAAAAUUACUUACUAAAAUCGCUAGCCAGUUGUGUCUCGAGUUUAGCGAACCGACUAUACGAUUUAUGUCGUAAGGUUCUCUCGUCAAUCCAUUUGUAUAUAUGUAUAGUCGCGAUAACAUAUAUUUAGAACGGCUUUAAAGGCGGCGAAAUUUGGUAUCUUUUUGGUAUUUGUUUAUAAUCGACCGGAUACCGUUUCAGUAGGAUACGCGUUUUAGUUGGGAAACAGAUCAUUAAUAGAGUGUAGAGUGUUCUGUUACAUUCAGAUAAGAACAUUUUGUUCGACAUAAUGUUAUAAAGUCAAAAUUAAUUUUAGCGCAUACGAUGUUCUGCUUUUACGGUAUAUAAUAUAAUAUACAAUUUGACACUGAUUUAUUACUCUCUUUUUUUACAUAUUAUGUACUUAGUAAAAAAUAACUAUUUUUAAUUACAUAUUUAAUUAGCAGAACAAUCAGCCGCCGCACUAUAUCUUAAAGUAGAACUAUCCAAAUCUACAAUUUUGAUCAUUCUACUAUAUUCAUUACUUCAAUUAUAACUAUCUAGCAACGUAGCCACAAUAUUGUGUGAUGGUCUUUGUAUCAAUAUGAUUCGUAAUACGAUUUAGCUUCUCACUGCAUUUAUUUUGAACGAAAAGUGAGGUUAAUAGAAUAUUGAUUUUGAUUGUGGAUAUGACGAAAAACAGCAAUGUAUAAAAUUAAGUGUGUUGAAAAACCAAUCUUUGGUAAAUGUGUAAUGUAAAGAGAAUAGACAAUUAUGGCUGUGUUAUAUAUUAUAAAAGUAUUUCAUUGUGCAGAAAUAUAUCGUUUAAAGUA